UACGUAGGGGGCAAGCGUUGUCCGGAAUUAUUGGGCGUAAAGAGCUCGUAGGCGGUUUGUUGCGUCGGCUGUGAAAUCCCGAGGCUCAACCUCGGGUCUGCAGUCGAUACGAGCAAACUAGAGUGUUGCAGGGGAGACUGGAAUUCCUGGUGUAGCGGUGAAAUGCGCAGAUAUCAGGAGGAACACCGGUGGCGAAGGCGGGUCUCUGGGCAACAACUGACGCUGAGGAGCGAAAGCGUGGGGAGCGAACGGG
Molecule: ribosomal RNA, 253 nt
Filed under: uncultured bacterium
Lineage: Bacteria
Description: partial 16S ribosomal RNA
Rfam family: Bacterial small subunit ribosomal RNA
Source: RNAcentral